UCAAAUCUCUCCCCCAUUUUCAAAAAACUUUCUUUGCUUGUAAUUCCAAACUUAGACCUUAUUGCAAAAAUAGAAACUUCGGCCUUAUGCCAAUGAUUUUUUUUUAACUCCUUUUUCUUAAAUCAAACUUGUAAAUAAAUCUAAUCAUAUUACUAAAUUUUCAAAAAAAAAAGAACUAAUAACCUCAUCCAAACUUUUGGGCCUUUU
RNAcentral lists this long non-coding RNA (207 nucleotides) under Lathyrus oleraceus (garden pea). Its description in RNAcentral is "Pisum sativum (pea) long non-coding RNA (PSAT_LNC042122)". Lineage: Eukaryota; Viridiplantae; Streptophyta; Magnoliopsida; Fabales; Fabaceae. The record is from RNAcentral.